AUGCUCACUUUGGCAGUACAUAUACUAAAAUGGAAACAAUGCAGAGAAGAUUACCAUAGCCUCUUCUCAAGGAUGAUAUGCAAAUUUGUGAAGUGUUCCAUAAGAAA
Manis pentadactyla (Chinese pangolin) is the source of this 107-nucleotide small nuclear RNA. NCBI's taxonomy places the organism in Eukaryota, Metazoa, Chordata, Mammalia, Pholidota, Manidae. The record is from RefSeq and is a predicted model, not a curated record.